RNAcentral lists this ribosomal RNA (468 nucleotides) under uncultured bacterium. RNAcentral describes it as "partial 16S ribosomal RNA". It matches the Rfam family "Bacterial small subunit ribosomal RNA", at positions 28 to 507 of the family's 1533-position model. The record is from RNAcentral.
GACGAACGCUGGCGGCGUGCUUAACACAUGCAAGUCGAACGGAAAGGCCCUGCUUUUGUGGGGUGCUCGAGUGGCGAACGGGUGAGUAACACGUGAGUAACCUGCCCUUGACUUUGGUAUAACUUCAGGAAACUGGGGCUAAUACCGGAUAGGAGCUCCUGCUGCAUGGUGUGGGUUGGAAAGUUUCGGCGGUUGGGGAUGGACUCGCGGCUUAUCAGCUUGUUGGUGGGGUAGUGGCUUACCCAGGCUUUGACGGGUAGCCGGCCUGAGAGGGUGACCGGCCACAUUGGGACUGAGAUACGGCCCAGACUCCUACGGGAGGCAGCAGUGGGGAAUAUUGCACAAUGGGCGGAAGCCUGAUGCAGCAACGCCGCGUGCGGGAUGACGGCCUUCGGGUUGUAAACCGCUUUCGCCUGUGACGAAGCGGGAGUGACGGUAAUGGGUAAAGAAGCACCGGCUAACUACGUG